RNAcentral lists this ribosomal RNA (327 nucleotides) under Escherichia coli. RNAcentral's name for it is "partial 23S ribosomal RNA". It matches the Rfam family "Bacterial large subunit ribosomal RNA", at positions 159 to 524 of the family's 2925-position model. The record is from RNAcentral. Lineage: Bacteria; Pseudomonadati; Pseudomonadota; Gammaproteobacteria; Enterobacterales; Enterobacteriaceae.
UGAAUCCAUAGGUUAAUGAGGCGAACCGGGGGAACUGAAACAUCUAAGUACCCCGAGGAAAAGAAAUCAACCGAGAUUCCCCCAGUAGCGGCGAGCGAACGGGGAGCAGCCCAGAGCCUGAAUCAGUGUGUGUGUUAGUGGAAGCGUCUGGAAAGGCGCGCGAUACAGGGUGACAGCCCCGUACACAAAAAUGCACAUGCUGUGAGCUCGAUGAGUAGGGCGGGACACGUGGUAUCCUGUCUGAAUAUGGGGGGACCAUCCUCCAAGGCUAAAUACUCCUGACUGACCGAUAGUGAACCAGUACCGUGAGGGAAAGGCGAAAAGAAC